UACGGGGGGGGUAAGCGUUGUUCGGAAUUACUGGGCGUAAAGGGCUCGUAGGCGGCCAACUAAGUCGGACGUGAAAUCCCUCAGCUUAACUGGGGAACUGCGUCCGAUACUGGAAGGCUUGAAUCCGGGAGAGGGAUGCGGAAUUCCAGGUGUAGCGGUGAAAUGCGUAGAUAUCUGGAGGAGCACCGGUGGCGAAGGCGGCAUCCUGGACCGGCAUUGACGCUGAGGCGCGAAAGCCAGGGGAGCAAACGGG
RNAcentral lists this ribosomal RNA (253 nucleotides) under uncultured bacterium. Its description in RNAcentral is "partial 16S ribosomal RNA". It matches the Rfam family "Bacterial small subunit ribosomal RNA", at positions 524 to 776 of the family's 1533-position model. The record is from RNAcentral.